Molecule: ribosomal RNA, 292 nt
Filed under: uncultured bacterium
Lineage: Bacteria
Description: partial 16S ribosomal RNA
Rfam family: Bacterial small subunit ribosomal RNA
Source: RNAcentral
GUGCCAGCAGCCGCGGUAAUACGGAGGGUGCAAGCGUUAUCCGGAUUUACUGGGUUUAAAGGGUGUGUAGGCGGGUCUAUAAGUCAGUGGUGAAAUCUCCGGGCUCAACCCGGAAACUGCCAUUGAUACUAUAGGUCUUGAAUAUUGUGGAGGUGGGCGGAAUGUGUCAUGUAGCGGUGAAAUGCUUAGAGAUGACACAGAACACCGAUUGCGAAGGCAGCCCACUACGCAACUAUUGACGCUGAGGCACGAAAGCGUGGGGAUCAAACAGGAUUAGAUACCCUGGUAGUCC